This 507-nucleotide ribosomal RNA is filed under the name uncultured Ascomycota. RNAcentral describes it as "SSU rRNA". It matches the Rfam family "Eukaryotic small subunit ribosomal RNA", at positions 569 to 1082 of the family's 1831-position model. The record is from RNAcentral. Lineage: Eukaryota; Fungi; Ascomycota.
AGCAGCCGCGGUAAUUCCAGCUCCAAUAGCGUAUAUUAAAGUUGUUGUGGUUAAAAAGCUCGUAGUUGAACCUUGGGCCUGGCUGGCCGGUCCGCCUCACCGCGUGUACUGGUCCGGCCGGGCCUUUCCCUCUGUGGAACCCCAUGCCCUUCACUGGGUGUGGCGGGGAAACAGGACUUUUACUUUGAAAAAAUUAGAGUGCUCCAGGCAGGCCUAUGCUCGAAUACAUUAGCAUGGAAUAAUAGAAUAGGACGUGUGGUUCUAUUUUGUUGGUUUCUAGGACCGCCGUAAUGAUUAAUAGGGACAGUCGGGGGCAUCAGUAUUCAAUUGUCAGAGGUGAAAUUCUUGGAUUUAUUGAAGACUAACUACUGCGAAAGCAUUUGCCAAGGAUGUUUUCAUUAAUCAGGAACGAAAGUUAGGGGAUCGAAGACGAUCAGAUACCGUCGUAGUCUUAACCAUAAACUAUGCCGACUAGGGAUCGGACGAUGUUAUUUUUUGACUCGUUCG